RNAcentral lists this long non-coding RNA (310 nucleotides) under Triticum aestivum (bread wheat). RNAcentral's name for it is "long non-coding RNA (TAES_LNC016287)". Lineage: Eukaryota; Viridiplantae; Streptophyta; Magnoliopsida; Poales; Poaceae. The record is from RNAcentral.
ACAUUACUAGCAUUGCACAUAAACCACAUCCUUUAUCGAGAGGGCAAACACAAUACCACGGUGAUACUGAGACGAACGCUUGAAUACAAACGGUUAAAGCUCACUCAGGGUAGUGGUAGUAUGGUACACAAAAUGCACAUGACACGAGCGCUGUUUUGUAGGUUAACUACGCGGUACACCGUACAGCUAGCACGUAAUUUGUGCUAGAGCCCAUCACCAUCUACGGCACUAGCUUCUUCGCCGCCGGUUUCCGGCCGGGUUUGGGCCUGGCCUCCUGCAGCAUGGACAGCACGUCCCUCAUCGACGGCCG